Molecule: small nucleolar RNA, 107 nt
Organism: Gossypium raimondii (Peruvian cotton)
Lineage: Eukaryota; Viridiplantae; Streptophyta; Magnoliopsida; Malvales; Malvaceae
Rfam family: Plant small nucleolar RNA R71
About the family: R71 is a member of the C/D box family of snoRNAs containing the C (UGAUGA) and D (CUGA) box motifs.
Source: Rfam
AGACUAUGAUGUGGACAUCUUUGGAUCGACAUCUUAAAACGCUCCCAAGCUUCGUGAAAGCUUUCUCCUUCUAGUUGCUUAAAUGUAGCUAUUUCCCUCCUCAAUUG